AUUUUUUAGAGGAUGACGUCAACUGCGGGGACAUUUGCAGUGAAGAGUACUGGGAUAUUGGAGAUGCAACUUAUGAAUGUGAAAAUUGUGGGGCAUAUUUUUGGAACGAAGAAAGAAUCAACAAGCGUUAUAAAAAACAAAGACCAGAGUUCUCUCUGUGUUGCGGUCGUGGAAAGAUAAAGCUGCCGAAUCCAACUGAGCCUCCUCAAAUUUUAAAGCAACUGCUGUUCGGAUCGGGUUAG
Long non-coding RNA from Lycium barbarum (goji berry), 242 nucleotides. RefSeq lists it as uncharacterized. The transcript is spliced from 2 exons. Lineage: Eukaryota; Viridiplantae; Streptophyta; Magnoliopsida; Solanales; Solanaceae. The record is from RefSeq and is a predicted model, not a curated record.